RNAcentral lists this ribosomal RNA (497 nucleotides) under uncultured bacterium. RNAcentral describes it as "partial 16S ribosomal RNA". It matches the Rfam family "Bacterial small subunit ribosomal RNA", at positions 28 to 507 of the family's 1533-position model. The record is from RNAcentral.
GAUGAACGCUGGCGGCGUGCCUAAUACAUGCAAGUCGAGCGAACGGACGAGAAUCUUGCUUCUCUGAUGUUAGCGGCGGACGGGUGAGUAACACGUGGAUACCCUACCUAUAAGACUGGGAUAACUUCGGGAAACCGGAGCUAAUACCGGAUAAUAUUUUGAACCGCAGGGUUCAAAAGUGAAAGCGGUUCUUGCUGUCACUUAUAGAUGGAUCCACGCUGCAUUAGCUAGUUGGUAAGGUAACGGCUUACCAGGGCAACGAUGCAUAGCUGACCUGAGAGGGUGAUCGGCCACACUGGAACUGAGACACGGUCCAGACUCCUACGGGAGGCAGCAGUAGGGAAUCUUCCGCAAUGGGCGAAAGCCUGACGGAGCAACGCCGCGUGAGUGAUGAAGGUCUUCGGAUCGUAAAACUCUGUUAGUAGGGAAGAACAGAUGUGUAAGUAACUGUGCACAUCUUGACGGUACCUAAUCAGAAAGCCACGGCUAACUACGUG